UCCUGGGGCCUGGGGGCGCGGUGUGGCGCUGUGCGGGGCCGCCGCCCGGCUCGAGCUCGGGGUCAUGGAGGAGCACGGGGGGGAGGAGCCGGCGGCGGGCGACUUCGAGCUGCUCGUGAGGAAUCAGCGCAGGGAGAAGCGGGAGCUGCAAGCGAAAAUUCAAGGUAUGAAAAAUGCUGUUCCUAAGAAUGACAAAAAGAGAAGAAAACAAUUGAUUGAUGAUGUUGCCAAACUGGAGGCAGAAAUGGAACAGAAGCACAAGGAAGAACUGAAGCAGCUAAAGGAAACUUUACCUGAGCAGAAUAAGCUAGAUUCUGUGGCUGAUAGUAUUGCAAGUUUUCAGCUUGAGGAAAGAGAGCAACAGAUACAGCAACCUCGAAUAUCAAAAGCACAGAAAAGGCGGGAAAAGAAAGCUGCAUUGGAGAAGGAAAGAGAAGAAAGGAUAGCUGAAGCUGAGAUAGAAAAUUUAACAGGAGCCAGACAUCUUGAAAGUCAAACGCUUGCCCAGAUAUUGGCAACAAGGCAGUUAGAGAUGAAACAGAUUCCAUCAGAUGGCCACUGCAUGUACCGAGCUAUUGAAGACCAGCUCAAGAAUCAGCAAAACUCCUGGACUGUUGCAACUCUGAGAAGUCAAACUGCAGAGUAUAUGCAAAGUCAUGUUGAUGAUUUCCUGCCGUUUCUAACAAAUCCCAACACGGGAGACAUGUAUAGCCGAGGGGAGUUUGAAAAGUACUGUGAUGAUAUAGUCAACACAGCUGCAUGGGGUGGUCAGCUGGAACUAAGGGCUCUAUCACACAUUUUGCAAAAACCAAUUGAAGUAGUGCAAAUGGAUUCUCCUCCCAUCAUUGUUGGUGAAGAAUAUUCAAGCAAACCAUUAAUACUAGUUCAGUCUUCCCACAUAAAGAAUGUUUGAUUAUGAAUUUCACAGCGUGGAGCUUGCCAGGCAAAACAAGUGUUAACCAGGUAUUAUCACUGAAAAACAGAGUGAACAGAACAUUAAUGAAAUUCACAGUCAGCUCAUCAAACAAGGCAUUUCAAUGCUAUCUGGCUCCAAACCUCCUCUUGCUACAUUGUUGGCAUGUUACCAGUGACCUGUGCUUCCUAUUGCUGUUCAUCUUUGUUACUUGAUGCAAAUAGGGUGACUUGACUAUUGGUAUGUAAAAUGCUCUGGUCAUUACAGCCAUGUUCUCUCUUUACAUCGUGUACUUUAAGGGGCAGAUCAAAUAUAAACUUUGGGUUUGUAAUGUUCUUAACCAAGGUGUAGGCCUUGGGUUAUGUUUGAGAGCGCUCUGCCGAGAUUAGGGCCCCAUUGUCUUAGACACUGCACAACCAGGAUCUGCCUGAGGAGUUUGUAGUCUGUAUAGCGGAGUCACAAUGGGUGGGACGGGGAAUGUGGGUCUGAGUGGCGGAAUGUCUGUGCCUUUUAGCCUUGUGACACGAGCCUGAUUCAGUUUACCUGGGCUCUUAAACUUGCUGCUGUGGGUUUUUUUCCCCCAUUGUAGACAUAGUCUGAGACAGACUGAUGCACAUGUGUGGCUGUUGAUGCCCAACAUUUGAGGUGGUGAUAGUUGCCCUCUGCUUUGGUUCUGCCAAUGGAGUGUGGGAGAGGCGGGGUCAGCCAAAGGCUCAGCAGCUAAUGGCAGGAUGGGGGUAGAUUAGAAGUGCAGAGCUGAGAUAACACAGAGUCUUGCUAGCAUGAGAUGGAGGCAGGGGGUGUGAGUGGGUGAUGACCUUGACAUACCAGCCAUGCCCCAUUUUCCACAGGCUGUGGCUGCAGCAGGGAGCAAGGAACAGCCCCUUUUACCCCAGGACUCUGCAGCAGGGAGGGUUUGUGGAGCAGGCAGUGGGUUCAUGCUCCUUUCUCCCCCAACCUAUGGGUGCAGUGGGAGAGUAUUGCAGGGGGGAUAAUGUGCCCGCUCCUCUCCUCAGACUUGGCACAUAAGGGAGAUGGUGGGCCUGCAUGGUUCUGUUCUGCAAACCACCUGCUGAGAGCAAAUGUCUUGUCUCUGCUUCCCCAGGUGGUGUUGCAGCCCUAUUUCCACAAAUGGAAGCUUAUCAUAGCCCUGCUGUGUGGGGCCUAACCUCUGCUCUCCUUGAUAAGUGUUCUGUGGAGUACAAGGUGUGGAGGGUGGGCAGGGAGACUGAACUGGGUAUUAGUGGGGGAAAGAGAUGGCAGAAGACAUGCUAAACCUGCAAAAAAAAAAACAAACAAAAAAAAAACCCUACAGAAAUUGGGCUUGUUUUUGGCUUAAUUGGCUUGUAAAUUGCUUGUUGGCUGGUUUUUGGCUUGUAGCUUGUUUGGCUUGUUGCUUCUUUUUUUGAUCGGCUCGUGGCAAGCAGGGGCAAGAGGCGGGGGAAGAGAAUCAGGGGUGCACAGAGGGCUCACCACAGUCCCAGACGGCACGCCGGGGAGAUCUAGUCACAUAGAGUGUUGGGGUUCUUAGGGAUUGGCCUGUUUUGGCCUUGUUUUGAAAUGGAAUUAGCUUGAUUUUUGGUUUAUUGUGAAAGUCGGGGUGCUUAUUUACCAUGUGAAAGUUAACAACUGUGGAUGGCAGUGGAGGUAUUGGAGGGCAGUGGGGAUGUUAUGGGACUGGAGGGGGUGAGGUUUGCAUUUGGGAAUAUUGGGAAAAUUACAGUAAUUUGAAAACAUUGGUCCGUAUGGCUUUAAAUGUCCAGGGUGGCAUGUGCACUUCACUUACUGGCUCAGCAAGUCUCUUCUGCUUAACUUGUCAUUAAGGUAACUCCAUACAGCACCAGACCACCAUGUCACAGCCGCACAUCCCUCACCUUCCCCUUAACACUGCAACUCCUUACACUAUCUUCAGUAGUAGCCAGCGUGGCUAGUACUGCACAUUGUUAUGCUGUUCCCGUGUUUGGUUUGCUUAGAUGUGGUAGAGGACACUGACUACUAGGCUCUGCUGCUCCCCCAGAUGCACCCUUUUCCUUUGGGAGGUGGGGGCUCCUCCUGAGCCCCCCACUAGUGCUUCCCUGGCCACAUCCAUAGCAUUGCACUGUGGCUGUUCCCAUGGUCAUGUGAGGGGUCUCCAAGGUCUGGGAUGGGGCUGGGUCCUGCCACUGUCUGCACGGUGAGGGGAUCCCUGCCCAGCGUAGUUACAAACUGCUAUUGGCACAGUUUGCUAGUGGUAGCAGUUACUGACAUCUAGGUGUUCUUUUACUGGCCUGUCACAACUUGCAGCCUCUCCCUUUCCCAUUAUCUAGUCCAGGGAUAGUAAGUGGUGAUGGGUGGGGAUCCAUCUGUCACAAUUUACUCUCUCUCAUCUUUCCCAAUCCUCUGAUGCAGGGGUAACAAAUUGUGACAGAUGGGGAGACAUCUCACUACAAUUUGCUACCAUUGUGAAAUAUCUCUCUCGGAUUUGGACACACAAAACAGUAUUUUGGUAAUCUAGAAAAACUUUCUACAGAGUUAAACCUCAGGCCUAUUGUAUGUAAAGCCCUGAAUGAAAGUGUUGUUUCUUUUAGUCUCUUUCCAUUGUAUAUUAGGCCAUACAGUUUCUAUAAUAAACAUUUAAUGCACUCAAGUGAAAAUAAUGUAAAACUUUAGAGCCUAAAAGUCCACUCAAUCUUACUUCUUGUUCAGUCAGUCACACAGACAAACAAGUUUAAUUACCUUUUCAGGAGAUAAUGCUGUCUGCUUCUUGUUUUCAGUGUCCUCCGGAACGGUGGCCAAAGCAUGAAGGGGCAUAUGGAUGUUUAGGAGACCUGGCAUGUAAAUACCUAACAAUGCCAGCUACAACAAUGCCAUGCGAAUACCUGUUCUCAUAUUCAGGUGACAUUGUAAAUAAGAAGCUGGCAGUAUUAUUUCCCGUAAAUGUAAACAAACUUGUUUGUUUUAGUGAUUGUCUGAACAAGAAGUAGGACUGAGUGGAUUUCUUGGGUCUGAAGUUUUACAUCAUUUUGUUUUUGAAUGCAGUUAUGUAACAAAAUCUACAUUUGUAAAUUGCACUUUCACGAAAGAGAUUGCACUACAGUACUUGUAUGAGGUGAAUUGAAAAAUACUAUUUCUUUUAUCAUUUUUACAGUGCAAAUAUUUGUAAUAAAAAAAUAAAGUGAGCACUAUA
Molecule: non-coding RNA, 4079 nt
Organism: Caretta caretta (loggerhead turtle)
Lineage: Eukaryota; Metazoa; Chordata; Testudines; Cheloniidae
Source: RefSeq, a predicted model, not a curated record